GACGAACGCUGGUUGGCGUGCUUAACACAUGCAAGUCGAACGGAAAGGCCCUGCUUUUGUGGGGUGCUCGAGUGGCGAACGGGUGAGUAACACGUGAGUAACCUGCCCUUGACUUUGGGAUAACUUCAGGAAACUGGGGCUAAUACCGGAUAGGAGCUCCUGCUGCAUGGUGGGGGUUGGAAAGCUUCGGCGGUUGGGGAUGGACUCGCGGCUUAUCAGCUUGUUGGUGGGGUAGUGGCUUACCAAGGCUUUGACGGGUAGCCGGCCUGAGAGGGUGACCGGCCACAUUGGGACUGAGAUACGGCCCAGACUCCUACGGGAGGCAGCAGUGGGGAAUAUUGCACAAUGGGCGGAAGCCUGAUGCAGCAACGCCGCGUGCGGGAUGACGGCCUUCGGGUUGUAAACCGCUUUCGCCUGUGACGAAGCGUGAGUGACGGUAAUGGGUAAAGAAGCACCGGCUAACUACGUGCCAGCAGCCGCGGUGAUACGUAGGGUGCGAGCGUUGUCCGGAUUUAUUGGGCGUAAAGGGCUCGUAGGUGGUUGAUCGCGUCGGAAGUGUAAUCUUGGGGCUUAACCCUGAGCGUGCUUUCGAUACGGGUUGACUUGAGGAAGGUAGGGGAGAAUGGAAUUCCUGGUGGAGCGGUGGAAUGCGCAGAUAUCAGGAGGAACACCAGUGGCGAAGGCGGUUCUCUGGGCCUUUCCUGACGCUGAGGAGCGAAAGCGUGGGGAGCGAACAGGCUUAGAUACCCUGGUAGUCCACGCUGUAAACGGUGGGUACUAGGUGUGGGGUCCAUUCCACGGGUUCCGUGCCGUAGCUAACGCUUUAAGUACCCCGCCUGGGGAGUACGGCCGCAAGGCUAAAACUCAAAGGAAUUGACGGGGCCCCGCACAAGCGGCGGAGCAUGCGGAUUAAUUCGAUGCAACGCGUAGAACCUUACCUGGGUUUGACAUGGAUCGGGAGUGCUCAGAGAUGGGUGUGCCUCUUUUGGGGUCGGUUCACAGGUGGUGCAUGGCUGUCGUCAGCUCGUGUCGUGAGAUGUUGGGUUAAGUCCCGCAACGAGCGCAACCCUUGUUCACUGUUGCCAGCACGUUAUGGUGGGGACUCAGUGGAGACCGCCGGGGUCAACUCGGAGGAAGGUGGGGAUGACGUCAGGUCAUCAUGCCCCUUAUGUCCAGGGCUUCACGCAUGCUACAAUGGCUGGUACAGAGAGUGGCGAGCCUGUGAGGGUGAGCGAAUCUCGGAAAGCCGGUCUCAGUUCGGAUUGGGGUCUGCGACUCGACCUCAUGAAGUCGGAGUCGCUAGUAAUCGCAGAUCAGCAACGCUGCGGUGAAUACGUUCCCGGG
This 1344-nucleotide ribosomal RNA is filed under the name uncultured bacterium. RNAcentral describes it as "16S ribosomal RNA". It matches the Rfam family "Bacterial small subunit ribosomal RNA", at positions 28 to 1378 of the family's 1533-position model. The record is from RNAcentral.